CCUACGGGAGGCAGCAGUGGGGAAUAUUGGGCAAUGGGCGCAAGCCUGACCCAGCAACGCCGCGUGAAGGAAGAAGGCUUUCGGGUUGUAAACUUCUUUUCUCAGGGACGAAGCAAGUGACGGUCCCUGAGGAAUAAGCCACGGCUAACUACGUGCCAGCAGCCGCGGUAAUCCGUAGGUGGCAGGAGUUAUCCGGAUUUACUGGGUGUAAAGGGCGUGUAGGCGGGAAAGCAAGUCAGAUGUGAAGACCAUGGGCUCAACCUGUGGCCUGCAUUUGAAACUGUUUUUCUUGAGUACUGGAGAGGCAGACGGAAUGCCUAGGGUAGCGGUGAAAUGCGUAGAUAUUAGGAGGAACACCAGUGGCGAAGGCGGUCUGCUGGAUAGCAACUGACGCUGAGGCGCGAAAGCGUGGGGAGCAAACAGGAUUAGAUACCCCUGUAGUC
This 443-nucleotide ribosomal RNA is filed under the name uncultured bacterium. Its description in RNAcentral is "partial 16S ribosomal RNA". It matches the Rfam family "Bacterial small subunit ribosomal RNA", at positions 338 to 795 of the family's 1533-position model. The record is from RNAcentral.